RNAcentral lists this ribosomal RNA (185 nucleotides) under uncultured Rhizobiaceae bacterium. RNAcentral describes it as "partial 16S ribosomal RNA". It matches the Rfam family "Bacterial small subunit ribosomal RNA", at positions 392 to 595 of the family's 1533-position model. The record is from RNAcentral. Lineage: Bacteria; Pseudomonadati; Pseudomonadota; Alphaproteobacteria; Hyphomicrobiales; Rhizobiaceae.
CGAUGCCGCGUGAGUGAUGAAGGUCUUAGGAUUGUAAAGCUCUUCACCGAUGAAGAUAAUGACGGUAGUCGGAGAAGAAGCCCCGGCUAACUUCGUGCCAGCAGCCGCGGUAAUACGAAGGGGGCUAGCGUUGUUCGGAAUUACUGGGCGUACAGCGCACGUAGGCGGAUAUAUAAGUCAGGGGU